AUGAAAAGUAUGGUCAAGGCACUAUGGCCAACCGUAGCGGCACCAGAUGAUAUGGCCGAACUAGCGAAGCGCUUUGAGGGAGCUCGGCGACGGCUUGAAUUAUGGAAAAUAUCAGCUUGUCGGGAAGGGGUGCGAGAAGAAUGGGCCAUUGUGAAGACCCGAUUCAGGAAACUUGAGCCAGAGCAUAUGGCUCGUGUUGGGCCAGUAGGGCCAGACGAACAGGAAAUACCUCUUCACUUGGUUUAUGACCAAGUGAUGCCUACAGCUCGGCUCUCCCAGCAGGAUUGCGCCUUGGAUAGCAUAAUAGACAAUGUGGACAAAGAGUGA
RNAcentral lists this ribosomal RNA (327 nucleotides) under Triticum aestivum (bread wheat). RNAcentral describes it as "partial small subunit ribosomal RNA". The record is from RNAcentral. Lineage: Eukaryota; Viridiplantae; Streptophyta; Magnoliopsida; Poales; Poaceae.